CUACGGGCCGCUCCAGUGGGGAAUAUUGGGCAAUGGGCGCAAGCCUGACCCAGCGACGCCGCGUGAGGGAUGAAGGCCUUCGGGUUGUAAACCUCUUUCAGUAGGGAAGAAGCGAAAGUGACGGUACCUAAAGAAGAAGCACCGGCUAACUAUGUGCCAGCAGCCGCGGUAAUACAUAGGGUGCAAGCGUUGUCCGGAAUUAUUGGGCGUAAAGAGCUCGUAGGUCGUUUGCCGCGUCGAUUGUGAAAAUCUGAGGCUCAACCUCAGACCUGCAGUCGAUACGGGCAAACUAGAGUGUGGUAGGGGAGACUGGAAUUCCUGGUGUAGCGGUGGAAUGCGCAGAUAUCAGGAGGAACACCAAUGGCGAAGGCAGGUCUCUGGGCCAUAACUGACACUGAGGAGCGAAAGCGCGGGGAGCGAACAGGAUUAGAUACCCUAGUAGUC
This 444-nucleotide ribosomal RNA is filed under the name uncultured bacterium. RNAcentral's name for it is "partial 16S ribosomal RNA". It matches the Rfam family "Bacterial small subunit ribosomal RNA", at positions 339 to 795 of the family's 1533-position model. The record is from RNAcentral.